CAACUUUAUUCAAGUCACCAAGACCUCCUCUACCUUGCUUCUGGGGAAAGGCCAUAAGAAAGAGACUGUAUUUUUAGUUUAUUUCAGUCUCAGCUGAUCAGACUUCUUGAGCCAAGUGCUAACUAGUUUCCUUUGAAGACCAACUUGCUAGAGACAGCUUACCUGAAUCAUGCAGUGUAUACAGGAUGUCAGUGAAGAGGUCUGGCAGGAAUGCCUCACUCUCUUCCUACUGACUGGUACAUGUUAUGAUGCAGUAAUUAUCACCAAUUCCCCACCCUGGUUAUUAGCAUCUUACUCUGAAGGUAACUUGUUCCAGUUGACCCAGGAAGAAAUUCAGAUUUUACUGGCAAGAGAGGGGAGAGAGAAAUUGUUUCUCCAAGGAGUCACCCUUGCAGGGACCAAAUGCUUGUUGAUUUGAGACAAUCUGUACACUGAAGGCAACAACACCAUGUACCUGCGCACCAAAGGCCAGAGUCAGGGCAGCCGGGCAGUGACGGUAGUUCAGAUCGAGUCUGUAAGGCUUGUGGUGAUUGGACAGAAAGGAACAGAAGGAGGGCCUCUCAACCUCGAAGCUUUUGAGAUGGCAGGUUAUGUCAGAGAGGCCAUUGAGCAACAUGUGGCCCAUUUAUAACUAAAUAAAAAAUAGUUGGUGUUUGACCUGUAA
Molecule: long non-coding RNA, 664 nt
Organism: Homo sapiens (human)
Lineage: Eukaryota; Metazoa; Chordata; Mammalia; Primates; Hominidae
Source: Ensembl